AUGGUCCCACUUUUUAUGGCACUAAAUUAUCGAACCAUAAUUGUGGAGUUAGUGGGUCAUUAAUUUUCACUAAUUGCCAUGACACGUAGUCGAUAAUCGUUCAUAACGGUUAUAGUAUGUUGAGUAGAUUGGCUGACUAUAUGUCGGUAGUAUUGAUAUGUCGGUUGAAUGUCCGAGUGAUCAUCGGCUAGUUCUGAUGUGCCGACGGUCUUAGAUCGAAGGUUAUUCAAAUUGUUUGCUGU
RNAcentral lists this long non-coding RNA (242 nucleotides) under Elaeis guineensis (African oil palm). RNAcentral describes it as "long non-coding RNA (EGUI_LNC058966)". Lineage: Eukaryota; Viridiplantae; Streptophyta; Magnoliopsida; Arecales; Arecaceae. The record is from RNAcentral.